UUGGGCUAUAGCCAAGCGGUAAGGCAAGGGACUUUGACUCCCUCAUGCGCCGGUUCGAAUCCUGCUAGCCCAACCAU
RNAcentral lists this transfer RNA (77 nucleotides) under Mycoplasma mycoides subsp. capri str. GM12. RNAcentral describes it as "tRNA-Gln". It matches the Rfam family "tRNA". Rfam says of the family: Transfer RNA (tRNA) molecules are approximately 80 nucleotides in length. Their secondary structure includes four short double-helical elements and three loops (D, anti-codon, and T loops). Further hydrogen bonds mediate the characteristic L-shaped molecular structure. tRNAs have two regions of fundamental functional importance: the anti-codon, which is responsible for specific mRNA codon recognition, and the 3' end, to which the tRNAs corresponding amino acid is attached (by aminoacyl-tRNA synthetases). tRNAs cope with the degeneracy of the genetic code in two manners: having more than one tRNA (with a specific anti-codon) for a particular amino acid; and 'wobble' base-pairing, i.e. permitting non-standard base-pairing at the 3rd anti-codon position. Lineage: Bacteria; Bacillati; Mycoplasmatota; Mollicutes; Mycoplasmatales; Mycoplasmataceae. The record is from RNAcentral.